Molecule: long non-coding RNA, 455 nt
Filed under: Mytilus galloprovincialis (Mediterranean mussel)
Lineage: Eukaryota; Metazoa; Mollusca; Bivalvia; Mytilida; Mytilidae
Source: RNAcentral
CAGUUGGUUGCAGGACUUUUGAAUUCAAAUAUAAGAAAGAAGAAAAAAUAUAAAGCAAAACUUGAAAUAUUACAUAUAAUAGGAUUUAUGAUAACUGCAGGAUAUCAGAUUGCAAUACAGCUUUUGUUCAGUUAUCUUUGUGUUGAUUAUUAUGUUUUAAAUCCCUUUCUGGUUCUUUGGAUGUUCAGAUUUUUUUCUCUUGAUUAAGGCAAGCAACAGAACUUGUACAACUUAUGUAGUUUCUUAUCUCAGGGUGAAUCCAGAAAAUUUUAAACAUAAGUGGUGGUAUUCUCAACCAAGGAUAAAAAGGAGGGUUCCAACUAUAUGCAUGAUCCCAUUCAAAUGCAUUAAUCUUCCAUAAAAAGAGGAGGUUCCAAUCACCAGACUCCCUGAGAUCUGCAACUGUAUCUUAAAGCAGCUAUAAUAAAACAAAAAUUGUACAUGUACUUCUGGCC